UUCGAGCGAAAGCGAGAAAGCGUUGCCAACGGCAACGACCCGAAGGGCGAAGCGCGCAGCGCUGAGUAAUCCUUCCCCCACCACCA
Molecule: small RNA, 86 nt
Filed under: Salmonella enterica
Lineage: Bacteria; Pseudomonadati; Pseudomonadota; Gammaproteobacteria; Enterobacterales; Enterobacteriaceae
Also listed under: 1 other name
Description: partial RtT sRNA
Rfam family: RtT RNA
About the family: This family represents a bacterial cis-regulatory element known as RtT RNA. The exact function of RtT is unknown although it is thought that it may be involved in changing the cellular response in relation to amino acid starvation.
Source: RNAcentral